RNAcentral lists this ribosomal RNA (237 nucleotides) under uncultured Aminicenantes bacterium. RNAcentral describes it as "partial 16S ribosomal RNA". It matches the Rfam family "Bacterial small subunit ribosomal RNA", at positions 1145 to 1382 of the family's 1533-position model. Lineage: Bacteria; Candidatus Aminicenantota. The record is from RNAcentral.
GGGACCGCCCGGAUAACGGGGAGGAAGGCGGGAUGACGUCAAGUCAGCAUGGCCCUUAUGUCCAGGGCUACACACGUGCUACAAUGGGCGAUACAGAGGGAAGCAAGGCCGCAAGGUAGAGCUAAUCCCUAAAAGUCGUCCUCAGUUCGGAUUGCAGGCUGCAACUCGCCUGCAUGAAGUCGGAAUCGCUAGUAAUCGCGGAUCAGCUACGCCGCGGUGAAUACGUUCUCGGGCCUU